GCUCAACCGGGGAGGGUCAUUGGAAACUGGGGAACUUGAGUGCAGAAGAGGAGAGUGGAAUUCCACGUGUAGCGGUGAAAUGCGUAGAGAUGUGGAGGAACACCAGUGGCGAAGGCGACUCUCUGGUCUGUAACUGACGCUGAGGCGCGAAAGCGUGGGGAGCGAACAGGAUUAGAUACCCUGGUAGUCCACGCCGUAAACGAUGAGUGCUAAGUGUUAGAGGGUUUCCGCCCUUUAGUGCUGCAGCAAACGCAUUAAGCACUCCGCCUGGGGAGUACGGUCGCAAGACUGAAACUCAAAGGAAUUGACGGGGGCCCGCACAAGCGGUGGAGCAUGUGGUUUAAUACGAAGCAACGCGAAGAACCUUACCAGGUCUUGACAUCCUUUGACAACCCUAGAGAUAGGGCUUCCCCUUCGGGGGCAGAGUGACAGGUGGUGCAUGGUUGUCGUCAGCUCGUGUCGUGAGAUGUUGGGUUAAGUCCCGCAACGAGCGCAACCCUUGAUCUUAGUUGCCAGCAUUCAGUUGGGCACUCUAAGGUGACUGCCGGUGACAAACCGGAGGAAGGUGGGGAUGACGUCAAAUCAUCAUGCCCCUUAUGACCUGGGCUACACACGUGCUACAAUGGGCAGAACAAAG
Molecule: ribosomal RNA, 637 nt
Filed under: uncultured bacterium
Lineage: Bacteria
Description: bacterial SSU rRNA
Rfam family: Bacterial small subunit ribosomal RNA
Source: RNAcentral